This is a non-coding RNA of Oreochromis niloticus (Nile tilapia), 419 nucleotides long. Lineage: Eukaryota; Metazoa; Chordata; Actinopteri; Cichliformes; Cichlidae. The record is from the annotation of a RefSeq genome assembly.
AAAACAUGACUUUGAUCUGCGUCCUCAUCUGGACUCUCCUCUGCUGCUGCUUCACAGAGUCCAGAGGACAGAUCACAGUGACUCAGCCUGGAGCAGUGAGCUCUGCUGUGGGAGGAUCUGUGAGCAUCAAGUGUAGGACCAGUCAGGAUAAUGUUUUUGUUUGGAACAGCUACCAUCUUUUAGCCUGGUACCAACAGAGAGAUGGAAGCCCCCUCAAACUUCUCAUUUACUAUGCUAGCACUCGACAAUCAGGGAUUCCAGCUCGUUUUACAGGCAGUGGAUCAAACUCUGACUUCACUCUGACCAUCAGUGGAGUCCAGGCUGAAGAUGCAGCAGUUUAUUACUGUCAGAGCAGACAUGAUGUUAACAGCCAAGCUGUGUUCACACAGAGAAAAACACUUUCUUCUGUGGUCUUUUAG